RNAcentral lists this ribosomal RNA (465 nucleotides) under Vreelandella stevensii. RNAcentral's name for it is "partial 16S ribosomal RNA". It matches the Rfam family "Bacterial small subunit ribosomal RNA", at positions 338 to 795 of the family's 1533-position model. The record is from RNAcentral. Lineage: Bacteria; Pseudomonadati; Pseudomonadota; Gammaproteobacteria; Oceanospirillales; Halomonadaceae.
CCUACGGGGGGCUGCAGUGGGGAAUAUUGGACAAUGGGCGAAAGCCUGAUCCAGCCAUGCCGCGUGUGUGAAGAAGGCCUUCGGGUUGUAAAGCACUUUCAGUGGGGAAGAAAGCCUUGGGGCUAAUACCCUCGAGGAAGGACAUCACCCACAGAAGAAGCACCGGCUAACUCCGUGCCAGCAGCCGCGGUAAUACGGAGGGUGCGAGCGUUAAUCGGAAUUACUGGGCGUAAAGCGCGCGUAGGCGGUCUGAUAAGCCGGUUGUGAAAGCCCCGGGCUCAACAUGGGAACGGCAUCCGGAACUGUCAGGCUAGAGUGCAGGAGAGGAAGGUAGAAUUCCCGGUGUAGCGGUGAAAUGCGUAGAGAUCGGGAGGAAUACCAGUGGCGAAGGCGGCCUUCUGGACUGACACUGACGCUGAGGUGCGAAAGCGUGGGUAGCAAACAGGAUUAGAUACCCCUGUAGUC